UACAGAGGGAGCGAGCGUUAAUCGGAGUAACUGGGCGUAAAGGGCGCGUAGGCGGUUUAUCAGGUUAGAUGUGAAGGACCCGGGCUUAACCUGGGAGGUGCAUAUAAGACGGAUAGACUAGAGUGAAGUAGAGGUAAGCGGAAUUUCCGGAGUAGCGGUGAAAUGCGUAGAGAUCGGAAGGAACAUCGGUGGCGAAGGCGGCUUACUGGACUUAGACUGACGCUGAGGCGCGAAAGCGUGGGGAGCAAACAGG
RNAcentral lists this ribosomal RNA (253 nucleotides) under uncultured bacterium. RNAcentral describes it as "partial 16S ribosomal RNA". It matches the Rfam family "Bacterial small subunit ribosomal RNA", at positions 524 to 776 of the family's 1533-position model. The record is from RNAcentral.